Molecule: long non-coding RNA, 5660 nt
Organism: Prosopis cineraria
Lineage: Eukaryota; Viridiplantae; Streptophyta; Magnoliopsida; Fabales; Fabaceae
Exons: 3
Source: RefSeq, a predicted model, not a curated record
UAAAGAUGCCCAAAGGGUUGAUAAUGUGGUACUAAAAAUGUUAAAUCUUGUGUUAAAUUUUAAAAUAAGAAAGAGACAGAGCAAUCACAAUGUCCAAUGUAACAAAAAUCAACAGGAAGAAAUUGAAGAUUAUGCUCAAUUACACAAAGACAACAAACUUCAACAUCAACGUUAAAAAAGAAGAAGAAGAAGCAAUCAAUGGCUUCAAAUUAAGGGAAAUAAUAUAAAAUAGUGUCUUGAUGUGGCGAAUGAAACCAAAAUAGCGGCGAAUAUACGAGUUUGAAGUUUGUAAAAAUGAACAAAUUAAAACCUAACCUUUAUUUGAUUAGCAAUGCAAUAGCAUUAGUUACGUGCCAAAUAACUUCACAUCAUUAGUAUUACAUUAUCCCUUUGGGUAUUUAAAAAUAGAGGGAUCAACAUUACAACAACAACAACAACAACAAGCCUUUAUCCCACUAGGUGGGGUCGGCUACAUGGAUUGCAAGACGCCAUUGUGCUCUAUCAUUUAUUAAGCUUUUAGAAAUAUUAUUAAUUAGGAGAUCACGUUCAACAACUUCCAAGAGUGUUCUCUUAGGCCUUCCUCUACCUCUCUUAAUCGGACUCAAAGUUAUAUAUUCUACUCUUCUCACUGGUGCCUCCCUUGGUCUUCUUUGUACAUGCCUAAACCAUCUCAACCGAUUUUCUACCAUUUUUUCCUCAAUAGGUGCCACCCUCACUUUUUCACGUAUGUGCUCAUUUCGAAUUUUAUCUUUACGUGUAUGUCCGCACAUCCAUCGUAACAUUCUCAUCUCUGCUACUCCAACUUUAUGUUCUUGCUGUCCCGUUAGAGCCCAGCAUUCACUACUAUAUAACAUUGCCGGUCUGAUAGCAGUACGAUAAAACUUUCCUUUAAGUUUAUUAGGCACCUUACGGUCACAAAUAACUCCUUUAGCUUUUCUCCAAUUAAACCAUCCAGCUUGAAUUCUAUGUGAAAUAUCUCCACUGAUUUCGCCAUCAUUUUGAAUAAUGGCUCCCAAAUAUCUAAACUUUUCCACUUGAGGUAUAAUUUGAUCUCCCAAUUUCACUUCCAAAUUAUUUUCGAAUAGUCCUUUAUCAAAUUUACAAUAUAAAUAUUCCGUCUUACUUCUACUCAGACGAAAACCUUUCGACUCCAAUGUCCUCCUCCAUAACUCAAGUUUGCAAUUAACCUCUUCUCUUGUCUCUGCUAUAAGAACUAGGGAUCAACAUUACAUACGAGAAAAAUAAUAGGGACCUAGAGCAACAAAAAAUAUAUCGACAAAAAAACACGAAGCCUCAUCCCACUUUGUAGGGUUGGCUGUAUGGAUUGCAUUAUGUCAUUAUAUUUUAUUAUUUACCAAGCUUUUAGGAAUAUUGUUAACUAAGAGGUCUUGAUCAACAAUUUUCUGAUUAGUGACUCGUCCAUGUAGAACUCAUGCAACCUUUGUUCGGUUUUUCUCAUCUUUGGUUAAUGUCAUGUUGAAUCAAUGCUUCUUCCCAGAGCAACACAAGGUUGACGUUGCACAUUCCAGAGGCACACGAAGGGGAGUUGCACGUCCCAGAGCCACUGGCGACCUCUUUCUCAUGGUCACGACCCAAUUUAGAGCUGCUCAAAGGCGACGCUUCUUGCUGUCCAGAAUCAUAUGUGCGUUUUUCUCUAGAGUUGCACUCUCCCCUGUCUUAGCCUUCAACUAUGGGCUUUGGUUCAGGUGCAGAGACUGACUUGAUUCUACACCCAUAUGGUAGAACUCCCCAAGGGUUGAGUGCUGCUGAAGGGUCUUCUUUUCUCCUCAUCUUAGACAAGUUUAAUGGUUGUAACUAUUGUAAAUAGGCCCAGGCAGUUUGGAUUGCUAUCAGAGGAAGAGGCAAGCUGAGUUUUAUCAUUGGCCACUUUGAGGCUCUAAACGCGUUAGACUUGAAGGCUGUUGAGAAGUGGCAGACUGAAAAAUCUAUAGUGGCUUCAUGGCUAAUUAACGCUAUGAAACCACAAAUUCAGCGCUCCUUCAUGUUUCUCACAACAGCGCGAGAUAUAUGGGAAGUAGUUAAGGAGUCAUAUUCAAAUGGUGGAUGGUGCCCGAGUCUUUGACCUUAAGACACGAAGUUGGCAGAUUAAACAAGGAGAUUAAGAGUUAACUGAAUUCUGGUUGGAGUUGGUUGCUAUUUGGCAAGAAAUUGAUCUCAACAUUGAAAAGGAAUGGUCAUGUGCCACUGAUGCAGUAAGGUACAAGCGUCGCAUUGAAGAUGAGUGAGUUUUUCAGUUCUUGGCUGGCCUUUAUCAAUCCUUGGAUGAUGUCCGUAGUUGUAUAUUAGCUCGCUCUCCUUUACCAUCUACUUGUGAUGCAUUUGUCGAAUUUUGCUGAGAGGCAUCUCAUCACAAGGUGAUGUUAUCUGCUCCUUCUAUUGUUCCUCCUCAAUCUGAAUCUGCUGCUUUAGUGAGCAAGCACUCUGAUCAAGGACAUAAGGAUGCAAAGGGGAAGAUUAGGUGUGACCAUUGUAAAAAGAUGGGCCACUGAAAAGACAAGUGUUGGGAUCUUCAUAGGAAACCUCUUGAUUGGAAACUUCGUAAAGGUAAAUCCCAACGUUACCAAGUUACCUUUGAUCCACGAGAAAUGUCUAGUCCAUUGCCUGCUAUUGAUAAAGACCAAUCAGAUAAACUUAUGGACAUGCUUCAGUGCUUGCAAUCUAGAUAGUUGCCUUCCCCUUCUCGUAAUGCUUCAGUAGCUAAGCAAGUGGCGUGAGAAAAUUGAUGCGGCCGAUGGCACUUCUUCAUCUAUUGCUGGAAAGGGAUCUGUCAUUGGGGAAGAUGAUUGACAAUGAUGAGGAGUGUGAUGGGCUCUACUACCUAAAUGAAUCAAUCGUGAGUAAACUCUGGUCUUGUUUUUGCUGCAACCUUGAGUCUACUUCUAAAAAUGUUAAUAUUUUAUUAUGGCAUAGAAGAAUGGGUCAUCCAAAUAUCCAAUAUUUGAUUCGCUUGUUUCCUAAAUCUUCAUCUUAUGAAAUUUAUAGUUUUCAUUGUGAUAUUUGUGAAUUAGCCAAACACCAUUGUUCUUCUUUUCCAUGCUUUGAGUAUAAACCCUCUUAACCUUUCUCUAUUGUUCAUAGUGAUGUGAGGGGUCCUUUGGGUGUUCCUAAUCGAACUCAUGCCAAGUGGAUUGUAACAUUCAUUGAUGAUCAUACCGAUGUAUGCGGGGUAUAUUUAUUGAAAGAUAAGUCUGACGUAACAUCUAUCUUUAUUGAAUUCUACACGAUGAUAUUAAAUCAAUUUCACACGUCCAUUCAAAUCCUCCAAACAGACAAUGGCACCGAAUAUGUUAACACAUCUUUGGGUGACUUCCUUAAGUCUAAGGGCAUUGUUCAUAAAACUUCCCGUGCUAACAGUCCCCAACAAAAUGAUGUGGCUGAAUGAAAGAAUAGACACUUACUUGAAGUUGCUCGUGCCCUUCUUUUCACCACAAAUGUUUCUAAAUACUUUUGGGGGGGAUGCCAUUCUUACUUAUACUUAUUUCAUUAAUCGCAUGCCCAUUAAAAUAUUAUCCCACUCUACCCCUCUUGAGUGCCUUUGUUAGACACACACUCUUUCUCAUCUUGAGACAACUCUUCCUUUAAAAAUUUUUAGGUGUUCUGCAUUUGUUUACCUUCACUCAUCUUCCAAACUUGAGCCUUAAGCUAUCGAAUGUGUGUUUCUUGGUUUCUCCUCAUCCCAAAAAGGCUAUAAGUGCUUUGAUCCUUCUUCAAAGCGUCUGUUUGUUAGUCAUGAUAUUUCUUUUUCUAAACACGAAUCUUUUUAUCCCUCUCCUUCAAUUUAGGGGGAGAACUGGAGUGAAUUUCAGUCAACCCUUGAUCGUGAUUGUGAGUAUUCUCUUGUAGAUUCUCUUGACCAUGGCCACCACCCUAACAUUACUUCUCUUGAGCUCUGUCUGUCUCUCUUAUGCAAGAAGAAAAAGAAAAUGCAAGUUCAGGGGGAGACAAGAACACAAGUACUAAAGGGAAAGAGAUCAAAGCUUACAAACGAAAGGUGAAACAUUGUGGAAUAGCCCUCAUACUUGAGAUAGUACCAGAAUCUAAACUGGUGGAAGAUUCUGGGGGAGAAAGUCUUGAAGAAGAGUAUGAGAAUAUUAAUGAAAACCCGGAGAGAGGGAAGAUUUCAUAAGACGACUUGGAACUGCCAAUUGCUCUUAGAAAGAAACCUUGAUCAUGUACACAACAUCCUAAUCAGAAAUAGCUAUCAUACGAAGCUUUAUCUCCGAAUUUUUGAGCUUUUAUUGCUAAUGUUGAUGAUGUUAGUACUCCUAAAAACAUCUAUGAAGUUCUUAAAACAACAGGAUGGAGAGAGGUUGUGUUAGAGGAAAUGAAAGCAUUAGAAGAAAAUGAGACAUGGGAUAUUGUGCAGAAGCCAAGGAACAAGAAACUAGUGAGUUGCAAAUGGGUAUUUACCCUAAAGUAUAAGGCUGAUGGGAGUCUCGAUAAGUUGAAGGCCUGAUUAGUGGCAAGAGGAUUCACACAAACUUAUGGCAUAGAUUAUCAAUAAACUUUUGCAGUAGUGGCAAAAUUGAACACUAUCAGGGUACUGUUGUCUAUAGCAGCCAAUCUGAAAUGGCCAUUACACUAAUUGGACAUAAAAAAUGCCUUCCUAAAUAGGGAAUUGAAAGAAGAAGUCUAUAUGUCUCUUCUUCCUGGUUUUGAUGAAGGGAGGGGUGACCAACUAUGCAAACUAAAGAAAUCAUUAUACGGUCUGAAGCAGUCCCCAAGAGCUUGGUUCGAUAGAUUCUCAAAGGUCUUAAAGUUACAAGGCUACAAACAAGGACUACCAUCAUUGUGAAAUGGGAAAUGUUUACCACUUAGUGUUUUGGUGAUUGUACUUUAUGACACUUCACUUGUUGAAUUGAUCAGAACCCUAUGUAGGUUGUCCUUUCGAAAAUUGUUGGCCAUUAGUUAUGAUACCAAUUGGUGGAUACUCAAGUGGGAUGGGAUCCUUCCCUUUGAAAGCUAACUAUUGAAAUGGAAGAACUAACCUGCUUAAAUAGCUCGUUGAGCAUCUUGUGCUACUCAAUGUGGGGCUUAGAUUGGUAUCUCAUUGAUGGAAGAACCCUCUAUUUUGAUUGUUCUUGUUUUAAUGCUUUAUUAUAUUAAAUUAAAAUACCACUUUCAAUAAUAUAUCUUAAACUGUUAUAUGCGAAUAAAAACAUUUUCCUUUGCUAUGCAAAUUGAGAACAUCCCAUUAAUUUGUCUAUUCCAGACUUUAGAUGGGUAGAAAAACAAUUUUUAGUUUUUAAUUGAAUUUAAUUUGAAACCAAUUCAAUGCUGAAUGCUGGACGCAAUUUGCCAUAAUAAACUUUGUUUGAGGGGCGAAUAUGUAAUUGGGAACUUUAUAAUUGAAUGACCUUAAGAUAUUGUGACAAUGUUUUUUGGCCAUCAAGAUACUGUGACAGCACGUCAUAAUUGGAUGGCCUUUUAAGAUAUUGUGACAAUUUGUUUUGGGCCUCAAGAUAUUGAGGCAAUUUAUUUAUUUUGGUAAGAAAGUGAGGGCACGUUUUCCAUAAAAUUGUAAUCAAGGAUUCAAUAUUACUUUAUUGUUCUGAAAAAUCUAGGAGGAAAUGCUUGCUUUUAUCUCAAUGUAAUAUGAUAUUUGGCUGUCUACUUGAUAGUUGAUACCCAGGAACUUA